CAGUCGCCGCGGUAAAACGGAGGGGGCUAGCGUUGUUCGGAAUUACUGGGCGUAAAGCGCACGUAGGCGGCUUGGUAAGUUAGAGGUGAAAGCCCGGAGCUCAACUCCGGAAUUGCCUUUAAGACUGCCGAGCUAGUAGGUGAGAGAGGUAAGUGGAAUUCCGAGUGUAGAGGUGAAAUUCGUAGAUAUUCGGAAGAACACCUGUGGCGAAGGCGGCUUACUGGCUCAUUCUAGACGCUGAGGUGCGAAAGCGUGGGGAGCAAACAGGAUUAGAUACCCCGGUAGUCCCUGUCUCUUAUAC
RNAcentral lists this ribosomal RNA (301 nucleotides) under uncultured bacterium. RNAcentral's name for it is "partial 16S ribosomal RNA". It matches the Rfam family "Bacterial small subunit ribosomal RNA", at positions 509 to 807 of the family's 1533-position model. The record is from RNAcentral.